AACGAACGCUGGCGGCGUGGAUUAGGCAUGCAAGUCGGUGCGUGAAAGUGUAGCAAUACAUGAGUAAAGCGGCGAACUGGUGAGUAACAGGUGGGUAACGUGCCCUGAAGUGGGGGAUAACACCGGGAAACCGGUGCUAAUACCGCAUGUGGUGUCAAAAACCUUAGGUUUUUGGCCAUUAAAGCAGUAGUGCGCUUCAGGA
Molecule: ribosomal RNA, 202 nt
Filed under: uncultured bacterium
Lineage: Bacteria
Description: partial 16S ribosomal RNA
Rfam family: Bacterial small subunit ribosomal RNA
Source: RNAcentral